CACAAAUAAAUGUAAAGAGAUUCACAAAAAAAUAUAAAACUCACAAAUAAAUAAAAUGAGAUUUGCAAAUAAAAAAAUAUAUAUUUACAAAUGUGUUUAAUGUCACAAACACAACUUUACCUGGCAUUUAUUUGUGAACCGCUGUCUGUGCAUUUAUAAAUUACUGCACGCAUUUGUGGAUCGCUUCCUGUGCAUUUGUGGAUUUGAAACACUUCUAGCGUCGACGUGCAGAUAAAUCCACAAAUAAGUGGACUCCACCCACCGUCUACUUAACCCAAUCAGACAACGCCCAUGUUGCACUGACCAAUCGCAGCACGCUCUCUCUCCAACCAAUCACGUUUUGCCUAACAACCAGGGCGGGAUCAGACACAUGAACGCGAGUCACUCGCUACAGUCUCUUCAACAUGGCCGAUCAAGAGGAGUAAAGACAGGUGAGUGAUGCUAACACAGUAAUUAACUGAAGUUUUACCAGGUUCUUGAUAUGUCAUCAUUUGUCAUAACUAGUGAGGUAGUUUGACAAUUUACACCAUGAUUUAAUAAGUUAUUAUUUGCUCUCAAGCACCAUUUCGAAGACUGUCGCAUUUGUCUGCCACAUACAUCAAGGGUGUCUUAAUUCUAAAAUGGACCAUUAUUCAUUUUACUACAGACCAGCUACAAAAGCUUACAUCAUUUUGGACUGGAUGGGAAGUCCCAUCCAAGAAUCUCCAGGUAAAUGUUUGGAAUGGAAGAUACUUCAAGGCUUCUACCUGCAGCAGGACCCUGAUGAUACCAGCUGAAAUAACCACAAUGGAUAACUUUGCAUCUACAUUGCAAGCUUGUGCUAACACAUCCUCCACUGGAUUUGGACUCAUUUAAUUCUGGACACUGGUUCUAUGUAAUUUUUUUUUCUAUGUACAAGUAAUAAUAAUAAAUAAAGUACUUCAAUAACAUUUUAAAAUAAAUUUAAUUAUUUUACAUGUCUUAAAAGGUUGUUUCCACAAGUUUUACUUAAGAUACAACUAUAUAUACACAUUUACAACCUUGCUGUCAAAAUUAGAGCAGCAGAAAUAAACCUUCAAAUAUCCCUUUCUUCGAUCAAAGUCUGUACAUAUGUGAGAGUCUUGAGGUAUACAUCUACUCCAAAUGAAUCAGACACUUGCAGUGGGUCAAUUUGCUCAUUUGUGAGUUGUGGCCUGUGAAUUACAGGCACGUUGACUGCAAAGUGAACAUGGUCAGCAUCUCCACCAUCUUGUUCAACUGCCACUGAGUCUGAAUAUUCCAUCUAAAGGUAAACAAAUACAUCAUUUUAAAUAUGGGGGGUUAAUCUAACAGAGCAAAACCAAUAAAGCAUUGUAAGAAGAAAUAAUUACCUCAGGGUUAAUUAUUGGAUUCUGUCUCUGGCCAAACACAUUCUCUCAUCCAACGAACGAUAGUUGUAUGAGUGACACCUAAAAUGUUACUGAUGUUUUCCUGGGGUAAUCCAAGCUUCAGAAAGUGGAUUAGUCUGUCAUUUGCUGCCUCACUGUCCUAAAAUGCAUAAUAACAAACACAGAACAUUUUGAUCAAUGAAAUAAACCUUGUUCAUAAUGAAAUAUUAGUCUAAUUGGUAAAUACAGCACAGUACUUUAGACUUUUUUAUUUUUAGCAGAUAGCCAAUAUUCCAACAAUAUUUUUAAAUGUAACAUGCUACAUGACCAAGUGGUCAUUUAAUUACCUUAAAAAAAAAAAAAAAUCAUAACACAGACGGACGGAUGGGUUCAGAAAACACCAGAGAGGUAGAAAACUGGGAAACACUAGUUAAAUUACAAAUAACGUUAUAGUUUUAUUUUGGAUGUUACUACAGUAAUGAGCAUUAUAUAUAAUAGUAAUUAAUGGAGCGGCUUGGCCCUGGUGUCAGAUCCCUGGCGAUGAUCUGCACUAAUGCCCGAGCAGCACUUUCACCUUGUGCAGAAAGGCCCUGAACAAACAGUAAGUAAACACAAACUGCAGCCAAAUAUUUAACUGAACAGACUGUAGUUUAAAGGUGCAUGGAGUAACCGUUCCAGUUAUAUACAAGGGAACAUAAUAAUGAGGAAAGCCAACUUUUCACUAGUGAUGGGAAGUCAGGUUCUUUUUUCGAAAACUGGUUCUUUUCGACAGUUAAUUUCAAUUAACAUGUCAUGCAUUACAGGCAACGUAACAACAACUUAUGACCCUCAGUUCACACAUACUCGUAGUAUCUGAGACGAUGCCACUGCGGGGGGUGACAAGGGGGAAUAAAACCGAGUCUCAUGUCAUAUGCAGUGGAAGAUCUUACCCCAAACGUAUAUCUGUAUAAUUAGGGCAGUUGGCAACCAGUUGGCACAUCGAAUCUACCCGCAGCUUCACAUAUUCUUCAUCUUGCACUCAAUAUUAAUUAAUAGUUUAUUUAAUCUAAUAAACU
This is a long non-coding RNA of Carassius auratus (goldfish), 2401 nucleotides long. NCBI's taxonomy places the organism in Eukaryota, Metazoa, Chordata, Actinopteri, Cypriniformes, Cyprinidae. The record is from Ensembl.